This 305-nucleotide ribosomal RNA is filed under the name uncultured bacterium. Its description in RNAcentral is "bacterial SSU rRNA". It matches the Rfam family "Bacterial small subunit ribosomal RNA", at positions 333 to 649 of the family's 1533-position model. The record is from RNAcentral.
AUGCUCCUACGGGGCGCAGCAGUCGAGAAUCAUUCACAAUGGGGGAAACCCUGAUGGUGCGACGCCGCGUGGGGGAAUGAAGGUCUUCGGAUUGUAAACCCCUGUCAUGUGGGAGCAAAUUAAAAAGAUAGUACCACAAGAGGAAGAGACGGCUAACUCUGUGCCAGCAGCCGCGGUAAUACAGAGGUCUCAAGCGUUGUUCGGAAUCACUGGGCGUAAAGCGUGCGUAGGCUGUUUCGUAAGUCAUGUGUGAAAGGCGCGGUCUCAAUCCGCGGACGGCACAUGAUACUGCGAGACUAGAGGAA